This 459-nucleotide ribosomal RNA is filed under the name uncultured bacterium. RNAcentral describes it as "SSU rRNA". It matches the Rfam family "Bacterial small subunit ribosomal RNA", at positions 26 to 518 of the family's 1533-position model. The record is from RNAcentral.
AGAAUCAACGCUGGCGGCGUGCCUAACACAUGCAAGUCGAACGAGAAAGUGGAGCAAUCCAUGAGUAAAGUGGCGCACGGGUGAGUAACACGUGACUAACCUACCCUUGAGUGGGGGAUAACCUAGGGAAACCUGGGCUAAUACCGCAUAAUACCUUCGGGUCAAAGGAGCAAUUCGCUUAAGGAGGGGGUCGCGGCCGAUUAGUUAGUUGGCGGGGUAAUGGCCCACCAAGACUGUGAUCGGUAUCCGGCCUGAGAGGGCGCACGGACACACUGGAACUGAAACACGGUCCAGACUCCUACGGGAGGCAGCAGUGGGGAAUUUUGCGCAAUGGGGAAACCCUGACGCAGCAACGCCGCGUGGAGGAUGAAGUCCCUUGGGACGUAAACUCCUUUCGAUCGGGACGAUUAUGACGGUACCGGAAGAAGAAGCCCCGGCUAACUUCGUGCCAGCAGCCGC